UAAGCUGGCUCAGAGUUCCUCUUGGGAUU
RNAcentral lists this non-coding RNA (29 nucleotides) under Rattus norvegicus (Norway rat). Lineage: Eukaryota; Metazoa; Chordata; Mammalia; Rodentia; Muridae. The record is from RNAcentral.